AUUGAACGCUGGCGGCAGGCCUAACACAUGCAAGUCGAGCGGAUGAAGGGAGCUUGCUCCUGGAUUCAGCGGCGGACGGGUGAGUAAUGCCUAGGAAUCUGCCUGGUAGUGGGGGAUAACGUCCGGAAACGGGCGCUAAUACCGCCUACGUCCUGCGGGAGAAAGUGGGGGAUCUUCGGACCUCACGCUAUCAGAUGAGCCUAGGUCGGAUUAGCUAGUUGGUGGGGUAAAGGCCUACCAAGGCGACGAUCCGUAACUGGUCUGAGAGGAUGAUCAGUCACACUGGAACUGAGACACGGUCCAGACUCCUACGGGAGGCAGCAGUGGGGAAUAUUGGACAAUGGGCGAAAGCCUGAUCCAGCCAUGCCGCGUGUGUGAAGAAGGUCUUCGGAUUGUAAAGCACUUUAAGUUGGGAGGAAGGGCAGUAAGUUAAUACCUUGCUGUUUUGACGUUACCAACAGAAUAAGCACCGGCUAACUUCGUG
This 484-nucleotide ribosomal RNA is filed under the name uncultured bacterium. RNAcentral describes it as "partial 16S ribosomal RNA". It matches the Rfam family "Bacterial small subunit ribosomal RNA", at positions 30 to 507 of the family's 1533-position model. The record is from RNAcentral.